RNAcentral lists this ribosomal RNA (528 nucleotides) under uncultured euryarchaeote. RNAcentral's name for it is "bacterial SSU rRNA". It matches the Rfam family "Archaeal small subunit ribosomal RNA", at positions 339 to 868 of the family's 1478-position model. The record is from RNAcentral. Lineage: Archaea; Methanobacteriati; Methanobacteriota.
GCGCGAAACCUUUACAAUGCACGCAAGUGUGAUAAGGGAAUCCCAAGUGCUUAUGCUAAGCAUAGGCUUUUGCCAAGAGUAAAUAUCUUGGCGAAUAAGUGAUGGGUAAGACUGGUGCCAGCAGCCGCGGUAACACCAGCGUCACGAGUGGCAACCGUAUUUAUUGGGUCUAAAGCGUCCGUAGCCUGUUUGAUAAGUCUUUUGUGAAAUCGUUGCGCUUAACGUAACGCUGUGCAAGAGAUACUGUCAGACUUGGAAUUGGGAAGAGUCAGAGGUAUUCCUGGGGGAGCGGUAAAAUGCUAUAAUCCUAGGAGGACCACCAGUGGCGAAAGCGUCUGACUAGAACAACUUCGACGGUGAGGGACGAAAGCCAGGGGAGCAAAACGGAUUAGAUACCCGAGUAGUCCUGGCCAUAAACGCUGUGAGCAAGGUGUCACGUAUCCUUCGUGGAUGCGUGGUGUCGAAGAGAAGUCGUUAAGCUCACCACCUGGGAAGUAUGGUCGCAAGGCUGAAACUUAAAGGAAUUGG